This 252-nucleotide unclassified non-coding RNA is filed under the name uncultured fungus. RNAcentral's name for it is "sequence contains ITS2". The record is from RNAcentral. Lineage: Eukaryota; Fungi.
AACGCACAUUGCGCCCUUUGGUAUUCCGAAGGGCAUGCCUAUUCGAGCGUCAUUAUCAACCUUCAAGCUUUGGCUUGUUAUUGGACCUUGUCGUUUAAAAGACUUAUCCGAAAGAUAAUGAGCAGUUUGUUAAACCUGGAAUACAAGGAGCUUUUUAAUAAGCAUCGUAUUAAAGGGAUAAUCACACUGAUCUUUAACUAAAUAUUCUUAAUGGUUGACCUCGGAUUAGGUAGGAAUACCCGCUGAACUUAA